ACGGAAGGCAGCAGUGGGGGAUAUUGCACAAUGGGGGAAACCCUGAUGCAGCGACGCCGCGUGAGUGAAGAAGUAUUUCGGUAUGUAAAGCUCUAUCAGCAGGGAAGAAAAUGACGGUACCUGACUAAGAAGCUCCGGCUAAAUACGUGCCAGCAGCCGCGGUACUACGUAUGGAGCAAGCGUUAUCCGGAUUUACUGGGUGUAAAGGGAGCGUAGACGGCGAGGCAAGUCUGAUGUGAAAGCCAUGGGCUCAACCCAUGAACUGCAUUGGAAACUGUCUUGCUUGAGUGUCGGAGAGGUAAGCGGAAUUCCUAGUGUAGCGGUGAAAUGCGUAGAUAUUAGGAGGAACACCAGUGGCGAAGGCGGCUUACUGGACGAUAACUGACGUUGAGGCUCGAAAGCGUGGGGAGCAAACAGGAUUAGAUACCCUGGUA
RNAcentral lists this ribosomal RNA (434 nucleotides) under uncultured Ruminococcus sp. RNAcentral's name for it is "partial 16S ribosomal RNA". It matches the Rfam family "Bacterial small subunit ribosomal RNA", at positions 341 to 792 of the family's 1533-position model. Lineage: Bacteria; Bacillati; Bacillota; Clostridia; Eubacteriales; Oscillospiraceae. The record is from RNAcentral.